GAUCCUGGCUCAGGAUGAACGCUAGCUACAGGCUUAACACAUGCAAGUCGAGGGGCGAGCAUUUCAGUUUGCUUGCAAACUGGAGAUGGCGACCGGCGCACGGGUGAGUAACACGUAUCCAACCUGCCGAGUAACUCGGGGAUAGCCUUUCGAAAGAAAGAUUAAUACCCUAUGGUAUAAUUAGACCGCAUGGUCUUGUUAUUAAAGAAUUUCGGUUAUCGAUGGGGAUGCGUUCCAUUAGG
RNAcentral lists this ribosomal RNA (242 nucleotides) under uncultured bacterium. RNAcentral describes it as "partial 16S ribosomal RNA". It matches the Rfam family "Bacterial small subunit ribosomal RNA", at positions 15 to 245 of the family's 1533-position model. The record is from RNAcentral.